This 253-nucleotide ribosomal RNA is filed under the name uncultured bacterium. RNAcentral describes it as "partial 16S ribosomal RNA". It matches the Rfam family "Bacterial small subunit ribosomal RNA", at positions 524 to 776 of the family's 1533-position model. RNAcentral also lists the same sequence under 1 other name. The record is from RNAcentral.
UACGAAGGGUGCAAGCGUUACUCGGAAUUACUGGGCGUAAAGCGUGUGCAGGUGGUUUGUUAAGUCUGCUGUGAAAGCCCCGGGCUCAACCUGGGAAUGGCAGUGGAGACUGGCAAGCUAGAGUGCGGUAGAGGAUAGUGGAAUUCCCGGUGUAGCGGUGAAAUGCGUAGAGAUCGGGAGGAACACCAGUGGCGAAGGCGGCUAUCUGGACCAGCACUGACACUCAGACACGAAAGCGUGGGGAGCAAACAGG